This 460-nucleotide ribosomal RNA is filed under the name uncultured bacterium. RNAcentral describes it as "partial 16S ribosomal RNA". It matches the Rfam family "Bacterial small subunit ribosomal RNA", at positions 338 to 795 of the family's 1533-position model. The record is from RNAcentral.
CCUACGGGUGGCAGCAGUGAGGAAUAUUGGUCAAUGGACGCAAGUCUGAACCAGCCAUGCCGCGUGCAGGAUGACGGCUCUAUGAGUUGUAAACUGCUUUUGUACGGGAGUAAAGUCCAAUACGUGUAUCGGUUUGCAAGUAUCGUACGAAUAAGGAUCGGCUAACUCCGUGCCAGCAGCCGCGGUAAUACGGAGGAUCCAAGCGUUAUCCGGAUUUAUUGGGUUUAAAGGGUGCGUAGGCGGUUCGAUAAGUUAGAGGUGAAAGCCCGCGGCUCAACUCCGGCACUGCAUCUGAUACUGUCGGGCUAGAGUUUAGUUGAGGUAGGCGGAAUGUAUGGUGUAGCGGUGAAAUGCAUAGAGAUCACACAGAACACCGAUUGCGAAGGCAGCUUACCAAACUAUGACUGACGUUGAGGCACGAAAGCGUGGGGAGCAAACAGGAUUAGAUACCCUUGUAGUC